Long non-coding RNA from Sinocyclocheilus rhinocerous, 326 nucleotides. RefSeq lists it as uncharacterized. The transcript has 4 exons. NCBI's taxonomy places the organism in Eukaryota, Metazoa, Chordata, Actinopteri, Cypriniformes, Cyprinidae. The record is from RefSeq and is a predicted model, not a curated record.
GUUCGCUGGAAAAUCAUACUGAGACCGAAUACACCACUCUUGCCUUCACCUGCAUCUCUCAGAGGAAGCGGGCGCUCGUUCAGUUUUCAACUCCAUUCAGAAUCUUAGAAUGUGAGAAUAACAGUGUAAAAGAACCUGUUGCAAAGAGAGCCAAAGCAAAGCAGCCCACUUGGUCAUGGAAAUGGGGAUUCCUGCCUGCACAAGAACCUGGACCACAGCUAAGACCAUCAAUUCCCUCUCAGUCACACACCUGACAGCUCAUUAUGCAGCUCAUUAUGCGGGCCUUUGUCUUCUCAGGUGUGAAUCACAGCAUUAUCCAUGACCAU